This 744-nucleotide ribosomal RNA is filed under the name Triticum aestivum (bread wheat). RNAcentral's name for it is "partial small subunit ribosomal RNA". Lineage: Eukaryota; Viridiplantae; Streptophyta; Magnoliopsida; Poales; Poaceae. The record is from RNAcentral.
AUGUACUUUGAUGGUGCCUUCUCGCUGCAAGGCGCCGGUGCGGGCGUGCUACUUGUUGCACCCACCGGAGAGAACCUCAAGUACGUAGUUCAGAUGCACUUUCCCAAGGAGCAAGCAACGAACAAUACCGCAGAGUAUGAAGGUUUGCUUGCCAGUCUCAGGAUCGCAGCAGACCUUGGGAUCAAGAAGCUCAUUGUCAGGGGUGACUCACAGCUUGUCGUCUGCCAAGUGAACAAGAAUUAUCAGAGUCCGUUGAUGGAAGCCUACGUUGAUGAAGUGAGAAAGCUAGAAGAGCACUUUGACGGCCUACAGAUGGAACAUGUUCCAAGAGCUCAGAACGACACUGCCGAUGGCCUGUCGAAGUGCGCCGCACUUAAGUUACCCGUGGAACCAGGGAUCUUUGUGCUCAAGCUGACUCAACCGUCUGUAACGCCAUCAAUUGGACAGAGCAAGAAGAGGAAGUUGAUUUCUGGUGACUAUUUUCCGGCAGAGCUCCCCGAAGCCGCCGCCAAGAAGGUCCUCAAGAUCAACACCGAAGGUGCUGAGGAGCAGUCUGCUCCGGCAAGCCUUAGGGUUUGUUCCGUUGAAGCAGACCCUCCCGACAAGUUUUGCUCCGGCAAGCUUGCCCGGGAACGUCAAGCUCCGGCUGAGCCGCAGGUUCUCGCCGUAGAAGCGGAUGUUCCCGCAGCAGCAGAUGUGCCUUUAGUCUUUGUUGUCGAGCCGCAAGCUCCAGCAUGGGCAUAG